GACGAACGCUGGCGGCGCGCCUAACACAUGCAAGUCGAACGAGCGAGAGAGAGCUUGCUUUCUUGAGCGAGUGGCGAACGGGUGAGUAACGCGUGAGGAACCUGCCUCAAAGAGGGGGACAACAGUUGGAAACGACUGCUAAUACCGCAUAAGCCCACGGUGCCGCAUGGCACAGAGGGAAAAGGAGCAAUCCGCUUUGAGAUGGCCUCGCGUCCGAUUAGCUAGUUGGUGAGGUAACGGCCCACCAAGGCGACGAUCGGUAGCCGGACUGUGAGGUUGAACGGCCACAUUGGGACUGAGACACGGCCCAGACUCCUACGGGAGGCAGCAGUGGGGAAUAUUGCACAAUGGGGGAAACCCUGAUGCAGCGACGCCGCGUGGAGGAAGAAGGUCUUCGGAUUGUAAACUCCUGUUGUUGGGGAAGAUAAUGACGGUACCCAACAAGGAAGUGACGGCUAACUACGUG
This 466-nucleotide ribosomal RNA is filed under the name uncultured bacterium. RNAcentral's name for it is "partial 16S ribosomal RNA". It matches the Rfam family "Bacterial small subunit ribosomal RNA", at positions 28 to 507 of the family's 1533-position model. The record is from RNAcentral.